RNAcentral lists this long non-coding RNA (1004 nucleotides) under Strigops habroptila (Kakapo). RNAcentral describes it as "lncRNA (ENSSHBG00005003535.1)". Lineage: Eukaryota; Metazoa; Chordata; Aves; Psittaciformes; Psittacidae. The record is from RNAcentral.
GCUGAGGGUUUCAGCUGGUACUUGGGUUCUUUCCCUCCUGUGCCUGGGUAAUGGUGAGUGAACAAAGCAGCAGGUGAUUAGUGCCGGUUCCUGCAGGACCCUGAGAGGUGCCUUUCAGAGAUCUCUCAGCAGACUUCAGUUCUUUCUGGUGACAGGAGUAUUUUAGUCCCUGAUCAAGACCAAACAUGGAUGCACCACAUCCUACAGAUAUUGCCCAUGAGAUCUUGUGCUUACAGCCUGAAGUUCUGCUGUGCUAAACACCAACUCCAGUAGUAUGUACGGGAUCAGAUACUGGAGUAAUACCUGAUCCUUUAUGUAGUUUGACACCAAACUCAAAUUCCUUCAUACAUUCAGACUUCACUUUGUUUAAUGAUGAUCUUGUCCAGUGUUUUCUCAAGAUAAAGAUUAUCUGACACAUAUAAACUGAUAGUUACGGUAAUAUUAACCUUUUUCCUGACUACUGCUCAGCCUGUCCCUGAAAUUAAUCUUCAGGCUUUGGAUCACCCUUACCCUGAAAGCUGAGCAAUACUAAAUCACAACAAUCUCAAAUACCGUCACAGCACAUCUUAAACUGCCUACACCUCACAGAAAAAUCUGGCAGAUGCCUUACUUAGAAAUGCUUUGGUUUAGGUAUGUCAUUCUAUUUUGUUUCCUUAAUAUGUUUCUAUGAAAACAGGGUUAUGCUUUAGGAUUUAAUCUUCUGUAUAUUCCUGACUUCAGUCAUAACCUCUGUCCACAUCAAAAUCAGCUGGGAUAUCAUUUUCACAGCACAUAUACCAGAUUUGAAAAUGAUCUUUUCAUCUUUUCUUCUUCUUUGUUUUAUUUUUCUUCUGUAAAGUUCUAAAACCUAAGCAGAAAAAUAAUGAAAAGAGCCUACCUUCAUUUCACUGAUGUGUUACACACAAAGUUUUCUCAUCCUUUUAAAAUUAUUCUUCGUGUGAAUUGAUUUUGCGGUAUUGAUUCUAGGAAUACUGUCUGUAAGCGGUUAUGUUUUGUGCAAUAUA